GAUGAACGCUGGCGGCGUGCCUAAUACAUGCAAGUCGAGCGAACAGAUGAGGAGCUUGCUCCUCUGACGUUAGCAGCGGACGGGUGAGUAACACGUGGUCAACCUAACUCUAAGACUGGGAUAACUACGCGAAACCGGAGCUAAGACCGGAUAAUAUAUUGAACCUCAUGGUUCCAUAGUUAAAGACGGUAUUUCGUUCACUUAUAGCUUGCCACGCCCCGCAUCCGUUAGUUGGUUAGGUAACUGCUUAGCCACGCAACGACGGUUAGACGACCCGAGGGCGUGAUCGGACAGACUGUAACUGAGGCACGGUACAGACACCUACAGGAAGCCGCAGUAGGGAAUCUUCCGCGAUGGGCGAGUGCCUAACAGAGCAACGCCGCCUGAGGGAUGAAGGUCUUCGGAUCGGAAAACUCUGUUAUUAGGAAAGAACAAAUGUGUAAGUAACUAUGCACGUAUUGACAGUACCUAAUCAGAAAGCCACGGCUAACUACGUG
This 497-nucleotide ribosomal RNA is filed under the name uncultured bacterium. RNAcentral describes it as "partial 16S ribosomal RNA". It matches the Rfam family "Bacterial small subunit ribosomal RNA", at positions 28 to 507 of the family's 1533-position model. The record is from RNAcentral.